UACAGAGGGGGCAAGCGUUGUUCGGAAUUACUGGGCGUAAAGGGCGCGUAGGCGGCCCACUAAGUCAGACGUGAAAUCCCUCGGCUCAACCGGGGAACUGCGUCUGAUACUGGAGGGCUUGAAUUCGGGAGAGGGAUGCGGAAUUCCAGGUGUAGCGGUGAAAUGCGUAGAUAUCUGGAGGAACACCGGUGGCGAAGGCGGCAUCCUGGACCGAGAUUGACGCUGAUGCGCGAAAGCUAGGGGAGCAAACGGG
This 253-nucleotide ribosomal RNA is filed under the name uncultured bacterium. Its description in RNAcentral is "partial 16S ribosomal RNA". It matches the Rfam family "Bacterial small subunit ribosomal RNA", at positions 524 to 776 of the family's 1533-position model. The record is from RNAcentral.